UGACGGCGCACCAAGGCGACGACGGGUAGCCGGCCUGAGAGGACGACCGGCCACCCUGGGACUGAGACACGGCACAGACUCCUACUGUAGGCAGCAGUGGGGAAUAUUGCGCAAUGGGCGAAAGCCUGACGCAGCGACGCCGCGUGGUGGAUGAAGGCCUUCGGGUUGUAAACCCCUUUCAGCAGGAACGAAGCGAAAGUGACGGUACCUGCAGAAGAAGCGCCGGCUAACUACGUGCCAGCAGCCGCGGUAACACGUAGGGCGCAAGCGUUGUCCGGAAUUAUUGGGCGUAAAGAGCUGGUAGGCGGUCUGCUACGUCCGCUGUGAAAACUAGGGCUUAACCCUGGGCUUGCAGUAGAUACGGGCAGACUAGAGGUAGGUAGGGGAGAAUGGAAUUCCCGGUGGAGCGGUGAAAUG
This 417-nucleotide ribosomal RNA is filed under the name uncultured Actinomycetes bacterium. RNAcentral describes it as "bacterial SSU rRNA". It matches the Rfam family "Bacterial small subunit ribosomal RNA", at positions 258 to 688 of the family's 1533-position model. The record is from RNAcentral. Lineage: Bacteria; Bacillati; Actinomycetota; Actinomycetes.